RNAcentral lists this ribosomal RNA (465 nucleotides) under Vreelandella stevensii. RNAcentral describes it as "partial 16S ribosomal RNA". It matches the Rfam family "Bacterial small subunit ribosomal RNA", at positions 338 to 795 of the family's 1533-position model. The record is from RNAcentral. Lineage: Bacteria; Pseudomonadati; Pseudomonadota; Gammaproteobacteria; Oceanospirillales; Halomonadaceae.
CCUACGGGUGGCAGCAGUGGGGAAUAUUGGACAAUGGGCGAAAGCCUGAUCCAGCCAUGCCGCGUGUGUGAAGAAGGCCUUCGGGUUGUAAAGCACUUUCAGUGGGGAAGAAAGCCUUGGGGCUAAUACCCUCGAGGAAGGACAUCACCCACAGAAGAAGCACCGGCUAACUCCGUGCCAGCAGCCGCGGUAAUACGGAGGGUGCGAGCGUUAAUCGGAAUUACUGGGCGUAAAGCGCGCGUAGGCGGUCUGAUAAGCCGGUUGUGAAAGCCCCGGGCUCAACCUGGGAACGGCAUCCGGAACUGUCAGGCUAGAGUGCAGGAGAGGAAGGUAGAAUUCCCGGUGUAGCGGUGAAAUGCGUAGAGAUCGGGAGGAAUACCAGUGGCGAAGGCGGCCUUCUGGACUGACACUGACGCUGAGGUGCGAAAGCGUGGGUAGCAAACAGGAUUAGAUACCCAUGUAGUC